UACAGAGGGGGCUAGCGUUGUUCGGAAUUACUGGGCGUAAAGGGCGCGUAGGCGGCCCUCUAAGUCGAACGUGAAAUCCCCGGGCUCAACCCGGGAACUGCGUCCGAUACUGGAUGGCUUGAAUCCGGGAGAGGGAUGUGGAAUUCCAGGUGUAGCGGUGAAAUGCGUAGAUAUCUGGAGGAACAUCGGUGGCGAAGGCGGCAUCCUGGACCGGUAUUGACGCUGAGGCGCGAAAGCCAGGGGAGCAAACGGG
Molecule: ribosomal RNA, 253 nt
Filed under: uncultured bacterium
Lineage: Bacteria
Description: partial 16S ribosomal RNA
Rfam family: Bacterial small subunit ribosomal RNA
Source: RNAcentral